GCGGAAGUAGCUCAGCGGUAGAGCGUCUCCUUGCCAAGGAGAAGGUCGCGGGUUCAAAUCCCGUCUUCCGCUCCA
This 75-nucleotide transfer RNA is filed under the name Chloroflexota bacterium. RNAcentral describes it as "tRNA-Gly". It matches the Rfam family "tRNA". From Rfam's summary of the family: Transfer RNA (tRNA) molecules are approximately 80 nucleotides in length. Their secondary structure includes four short double-helical elements and three loops (D, anti-codon, and T loops). Lineage: Bacteria; Bacillati; Chloroflexota. RNAcentral also lists the same sequence under 2 other names. The record is from RNAcentral.